RNAcentral lists this ribosomal RNA (305 nucleotides) under uncultured bacterium. RNAcentral describes it as "bacterial SSU rRNA". It matches the Rfam family "Bacterial small subunit ribosomal RNA", at positions 333 to 636 of the family's 1533-position model. The record is from RNAcentral.
UGGUCCCUACGGGGGGCAGCAGUGAGGAAUAUUGGUCAAUGGUCGGGAGACUGAACCAGCCACGCCGCGUGAGGGAUGAAGGUACAGAGUAUCGUAAACCUCUUUUGUCAGGGAACAAAGGCGGGGACGUUUCCCCGGAUGAGUGUACCUGAAGAAAAAGCAUCGGCUAACUCCGUGCCAGCAGCCGCGGUAAUACGGAGGAUGCGAGCGUUAUCCGGAUUUAUUGGGUUUAAAGGGUGCGCAGGCGGUCUGUUAAGUCAGCGGUCAAAGCCCGGGGCUCACCCCCGGCCCGCCGUUGAAACUGG